UUGGCCUCUUUGCUCAGCUCAGCCCUGAGCAGGGCAGACGGAGCUCCGUGGCCGGCGCUGCUGGGUGGCUGGCGCCUGAAGUGGUGACAGGUCAACCAUGUGGCCCCAAAGUGGACAUAUGGUCUUUGGGAAUCGUGGGUAUCGAAAUGGUGGAACGAGAAGUUCCUUCCUGGAAUGCAACUCCUGUCUUGCCCCAACUCCUGAUAGCCACAGGAGGAAGACAAAAGCUGAAGCAGCCCAACCUAUUUUCAUCCUGCCUGCGUGACUUCCUGAGCUGCUGCCUGCAGAGAGACGAGGCGCGGCGCUGGUCUGCCAAGGAGCUCCUGCAGAAUACACCCUGUGGGAAGAGGGAUGGAAGUGUUUAUUAUGCUAAUAGCAAUGAGUAUGCUAAUAAUGAGGCAAGGGCGGAAUUGACAAUCAACCAUCUAGCUGGAGAAGGACAACACAGCC
This is a long non-coding RNA of Melospiza melodia melodia, 450 nucleotides long. RefSeq lists it as uncharacterized. The record is from RefSeq and is a predicted model, not a curated record. Lineage: Eukaryota; Metazoa; Chordata; Aves; Passeriformes; Passerellidae. The transcript has 3 exons.